RNAcentral lists this ribosomal RNA (450 nucleotides) under uncultured bacterium. RNAcentral describes it as "bacterial SSU rRNA". It matches the Rfam family "Bacterial small subunit ribosomal RNA", at positions 355 to 796 of the family's 1533-position model. The record is from RNAcentral.
UGGGGAAUCUUGCGCAAUGGACGAAAGUCUGACGCAGCCACGCCGCGUGAGUGAAGAAGGCCUUCGGGUUGUAAAGCUCUGUCGAACGGGACGAAAAGCUUUAGAGUGAAUAGCUCUAGAGCCUGACGGUACCGAGAGAGGAAGCACCGGCUAACUCCGUGCCAGCAGCCGCGGUAAUACGGAGGGUGCAAGCGUUGCUCGGAAUUAUUGGGCGUAAAGGGUAGGUAGGUGGUCUCAUUUGUCGGGGGUGAAAGCCUUGGGCUUAACUCAAGAAGUGCCCCCGAAACGGUGAGACUGGAGUCCUGGAGAGGGUCGUGGAAUUCCCGGUGUAGCGGUGAAAUGCGUAGAGAUCGGGAGGAACACCAGAGGCGAAGGCGGCGACCUGGACAGGCACUGACACUCAACUACGAAAGCGUGGGGAGCAAACAGGAUUAGAUACCCCCGUAGUCC